Molecule: ribosomal RNA, 253 nt
Filed under: uncultured bacterium
Lineage: Bacteria
Description: partial 16S ribosomal RNA
Rfam family: Bacterial small subunit ribosomal RNA
Source: RNAcentral
UACGUAGGUGGCAAGCGUUACUCGGAAUCACUAGGCGUAAAGCGCAGGUAGGCGGUUUGGUAAGUCUUUUGUGAAAGCUCCCGGCUUAACUGGGAGAGGUCAAGGGAAACUACCAGGCUAGAGUGUGGCAGAGGAAGCUGGAAUUCCCGGUGUAGCGGUGAAAUGCGUAGAUAUCGGGAGGAAUACCUAUGGCGAAAGCAGGCUUCUGGGCCAUCACUGACGCUGAGUUGCGAAAGCUAGGGGAGCAAACAGG